This 577-nucleotide ribosomal RNA is filed under the name Geotrichum sp. HN12-1. Its description in RNAcentral is "eukaryotic LSU rRNA". It matches the Rfam family "Eukaryotic large subunit ribosomal RNA", at positions 37 to 655 of the family's 3401-position model. The record is from RNAcentral. Lineage: Eukaryota; Fungi; Ascomycota; Dipodascomycetes; Dipodascales; Dipodascaceae.
UGCAUAUCAAAAAGCGGAGGAAAAGAAACCAACAGGGAUUGCCUUAGUAACGGCGAGUGAAGCGGCAAAAGCUCAAAUUUGAAAUCGGCCACCAGGUCGAGUUGUAAUUUGUAGAUUGUAUCUUGAGAGCGGAUUAAAGUCUGUUGGAACACAGCGCCUUAGAGGGUGACAGCCCCGUAAAAUCUAUUCUCAUUGUAAGAUACUUUCGAAGAGUCGAGUUGUUUGGGAAUGCAGCUCUAAGUGGGAGGUAAAUUCCUUCUAAAGCUAAAUAUUGACGAGAGACCGAUAGCGAACAAGUACUGUGAAGGAAAGAUGAAAAGCACUUUGAAAAGAGAGUGAAAAAGUACGUGAAAUUGUUAAAAGGGAAGGGUAUUGAAUCAGACUUGGUGCUGUUGUUCAACUGUGUUUCGGCAUAGUGUACUCAGCAGUACUAGGCCAAGGUGGGGUGUUUGGGAGUGAAAAAGAAGUUGGAACGUAACUCUUCGGAGUGUUAUAGCCUACUUUCAUAGCUCCUCAGGCGCCUCAGGACUGCGCUUCGGCAAGGACCUUGGCAUAAUGAUUCUAUACCGCCCGUCUU